RNAcentral lists this ribosomal RNA (2271 nucleotides) under Triticum aestivum (bread wheat). RNAcentral's name for it is "partial small subunit ribosomal RNA". The record is from RNAcentral. Lineage: Eukaryota; Viridiplantae; Streptophyta; Magnoliopsida; Poales; Poaceae.
AUGGUGGUCGCCGACGCCACCGGAGGCGAGGAAGGGGCGAGGAUCUCCCCGAAGGGAGGCCAAGGAGAGGAGGAUGCGGAGGAGCAGCUGUGCCGCAUCUGCCGCCUCCCCGCCGAGGCGGAGCGGCCCCUGCGGAGCCCAUGCGCCUGCCGCGGCAGCAUCAGGUUCGUCCACGACGAAUGCCAGCUCCGGUGGAUCUCCGCCCGCGGAAAACCCCUAUGCGAGGUAUGCAACCGCGGCAUCACCACCCGGCUUCUCUACGCCGCGGACGCCCCCGCGAGGCUGCCUGUUUCUGAGUUCAUCGUGGGGGCGUCCGACAAGCUCACGGGUCUGCUGCUGCUGCUCGUCUUCGUCGUAUGCGUUGUGCCGGAGUUUUCCAUUCACCUCGCCGCCCUCUGGGCUUGGCACCUCGCGCUCGCCAGAUCCUUUGCUCAAGCGCGCUGUUUGCUCUCCCUCCGCCUUUCUACCGCCUCCGCCAUCGCUCUAUUUGCGCUCUGCGUUGCAUUCGCGCGCCGGUUUGCUCCAUUUGCUGUAGCUCCAUUUGCACGAUGGGUUGCGCGCCUAGAAACUCGGCGUCAGGGGUUUCGAGGAUUUGAUGGCUUGCAAGUCCUUGCGCUACUUGCCGUUGAAGCAUUCUUGAUGGUGGUAAUAUUUGACAUGGCUCUUGCUUGUAUUUUGGUUUUUCUCCCAUUCUCGCUGGGAAGGAUAAUCCACUGGUGCAUAUCGUGUUCCAUUUUUUCCAAUGUGGGUGAAGUCAACUCCUACACUUCAACAGGCUCUGCCCUUCUAAUUGGAUAUGGACUUAUCAUUUCUGUGGGUGUCACUUUUCCUGGGCUGAACACUCUCUGGCAAUACUUUAGGGGGGAGCGCCUUAUGAUUGCAAUUUUCAUUAGACGGCUCCAUGCUAGAUUCCUCAGAGAGACUGCAGGUUUCACCACUCUUGCAAGUAUUCUCCUGAGCGCAUUUAUAAUGUACCCGUUGUUCUUUGGCUGGUUGCUUGAUAUCUUCACUUCAAAAAUGUUUGGUGCAACAAUGUCUCAAAGGCUGGAACUCCUGUUUGCUCCAUCUUUUGCUUCAGCUUCUCUUCAUUGUUUUAUUGGACACAUAUUUUUGAAUCUACGUCUCUGGUUGUCCGUAACUCUUCACAAGAUAUUGAGGCUGGGUGCCUGUCCCUGCUGCCACAUCCACCGUAACCAUAUUCAGGAACCAUUCCACAAAUUUUAUUUUAAGCGUGCUCUUCUGUAUGACGUUAUCUUUAUGGCCGUAGUAAUUUUUGUUCCUGUUCAAAUUGCUGGCCAAUUGGCACCGGAGCUGUUCCCGUUAGAUAUCAAUUGUGCUGCUGAAGGCUUAUCAUUAUGGCAAGCGCCACGAAACUAUGCCAAUUCAAUUUCUCGUGUUUUCAUUGUGUGGUUUCUCCUUAAGGGCACUUCUACAGUCACAUACCUUGAGUCGCUAGUGAAGAAGGUAACUCGGUAUUCGUAUGCCACUAAUGUGGUGCUUACAUGGUCGACUGUUGCGAUAUACAGUUCAGCUGUGCUCAUUUUUCCAAUCUCAAUUGGGCGUGCCUUGUUGCUUGCCAUCACCCGGAUGCCAGUAGCAAGUGGAUUGGAAUCCAAUGAUCUGCUUGCUUUGGUUGUUGGGAUUGGCAUCAUAUUAACUAUUAUUGCUGCCACUAGAGAUUCAAUUGCCUACAUGACUUGUGGGAGACCACGCCAUCUAGCUUUGAAGUACUCAAUGAUUGUGUUCUUAUGGUUUAUCGUCAUUCCAUUCCUGAAUGGGUUGCUGGUUGAUUUAUUUCUAAUAUCACCAUUCGUUGGGCCUGCUGACGACGUUUCAUUAUCCUACACUUGGGCCCUUGGGUUUCUAUUUAUGAGAAUCUGGCUAAAGCUGGUUCAGCAGAUAAGGGCCAGACCCGUCCUUGCCUAUAUCAUUGAUGAAAGGUGGGUUCCGACGAUUGUUCGGUGGAAGGCCGAUUGUCUUUCUUGGGAGAUAUCAAUGUUCUGGUUCUUACAAGAAAUCUUCCUGCCUAUUGCCAUGAGGCUACUCGUUGCUCUAGGCGUGCCUUAUGUGCUCGCCAAGGGUGUCUUCCCAAGAUUUGGCUACUCCGCUGCUGUGAACGCGGCAGUCUAUCGCUUCGCAUGGCUGGGCAGCCUCGGCUCCUGUGAGCUCUGCUAUCUCUUGAAGGUGUUGUGUUUCAAACUCCAUGAUUCGAUCAGGGAUGAGCGCUACGUCAUCGGGAAGAGGUUGGAAGAUGUCCCCCACGAUAGCUGA